Prunus mume (Japanese apricot) is the source of this 465-nucleotide non-coding RNA. The record is from RefSeq and is a predicted model, not a curated record. NCBI's taxonomy places the organism in Eukaryota, Viridiplantae, Streptophyta, Magnoliopsida, Rosales, Rosaceae.
UGGAGAGAAUGAGGAGGAUCUUUUAAGCUAUGCCUGGAGGAAUUGGAAGGAUAAUACAGUGGCAAAUAUCAUGGACCCAAAGCUGACGACAGGUUUAGGAAUUGAAAUGAUGAGAUGCAUCCACAUUGCAUUGCUAUGCGUCCAAGAAAAUGUGGCAAGCAGACCAUCCAUGGCUUCAGUUGUCUCUAUGCUUAACAGCCAUUCUGUCACACUCUCACUACCCUCACGACCGGCAUAUUAUUUGCAAUAUAACAGUGGAUCAGACAUAACAGGGUCCGAUGAAUCCCAAAACCCUAUGCAUGUGUCAGCAAAUAAGAAUUCAGAUUUUACUGAACCAUAUGCUCGCUAGUGGGGUGGGGCUGAGUAUGUAUCAGGAACAAUUUAUUUUCUUUUCUUUGAUAUGCGCGUUUGAUUGAUAUAUUUGAAAAACUGCAGCUCAAGUUAAAUAUUUUCUGUACUUAAAGU